This 105-nucleotide small RNA is filed under the name uncultured Thalassolituus sp. RNAcentral's name for it is "RtT RNA". It matches the Rfam family "RtT RNA", at positions 15 to 129 of the family's 130-position model. From Rfam's summary of the family: This family represents a bacterial cis-regulatory element known as RtT RNA. The exact function of RtT is unknown although it is thought that it may be involved in changing the cellular response in relation to amino acid starvation. The record is from RNAcentral. Lineage: Bacteria; Pseudomonadati; Pseudomonadota; Gammaproteobacteria; Oceanospirillales; Oceanospirillaceae.
UGAGGCAGGGUGAGAACCCUCGUGGGUUCGAGUCGAGCGUAGCGAGACAACGUCGGAGCUUGCGACGACGGCCCGAAGGGCGCAAGUCAUCCCUCCCUCACCGCC